UGGGGAAUUUUCCCCAAUGGGCGCAAGCCUGAGGGAGCAACGCCGCGUGCAGGACGACGGCCUUCGGGUUGUAAACUGCUUUUGCGUGGGACGAUAACGACGGUACCACGCGAAUCAGCCCCGGCUAACUCUGUGCCAGCAGCCGCGGUAAUACAGAGGGGGCAAGCGUUAAUCGGAAUUACUGGGCGUAAAGCGCGCGUAGGCGGCUUAGUAAGUCGGAUGUGAAAGCCCCGGGCUUAACCUGGGAAUUGCAUUCGAAACUGCUGAGCUAGAGUAUGGUAGAGGGAAGUGGAAUUUCCGGUGUAGCGGUGAAAUGCGUAGAUAUCGGAAGGAACACCAGUGGCGAAGGCGACUUCCUGGGCCAAUACUGACGCUGAGGUGCGAAAGCGUGGGGAGCAAACAGGAUUAGAUACCCCCGUAGUCC
RNAcentral lists this ribosomal RNA (424 nucleotides) under uncultured prokaryote. Its description in RNAcentral is "bacterial SSU rRNA". It matches the Rfam family "Bacterial small subunit ribosomal RNA", at positions 355 to 796 of the family's 1533-position model. The record is from RNAcentral.